RNAcentral lists this ribosomal RNA (274 nucleotides) under uncultured bacterium. Its description in RNAcentral is "partial 16S ribosomal RNA". It matches the Rfam family "Bacterial small subunit ribosomal RNA", at positions 523 to 796 of the family's 1533-position model. The record is from RNAcentral.
AUACGGAGGGUGCAAGCGUUACUCGGAAUCACUGGGCGUAAAGCGCGCGCAGGCGGGCUGAUAAGUUGGAUGUGAAAGCCUACGGCUCAACCGUAGAACUGCAUCCAAAACUGUCAGUCUAGAGUGUGGGAGAGGAAGAUGGAAUUAGUUGUGUAGGGGUAAAAUCCGUAGAGAUGACUAGGAAUACCAAAAGCGAAGGCAAUCUUCUGGAACACUACUGACGCUGAGGCGCGAAGGCGUGGGGAGCAAACAGGAUUAGAAACCCCAGUAGUCC